CGCGCAGGCGGUCUCUUAAGUCUGAUGUGAAAGCCCACGGCUCAACCGUGGAGGGUCAUUGGAAACUGGGAGACUUGAGUGCAGGAGAGAAAAGUGGAAUUCCACGUGUAGCGGUGAAAUGCGUAGAGAUGUGGAGGAACACCAGUGGCGAAGGCGGCUUUUUGGCCUGUAACUGACGCUGAGGCGCGAAAGCGUGGGGAGCAAACA
RNAcentral lists this ribosomal RNA (207 nucleotides) under uncultured bacterium. RNAcentral describes it as "partial 16S ribosomal RNA". It matches the Rfam family "Bacterial small subunit ribosomal RNA", at positions 568 to 774 of the family's 1533-position model. The record is from RNAcentral.